This 489-nucleotide ribosomal RNA is filed under the name uncultured bacterium. RNAcentral describes it as "partial 16S ribosomal RNA". It matches the Rfam family "Bacterial small subunit ribosomal RNA", at positions 28 to 507 of the family's 1533-position model. The record is from RNAcentral.
GACGAACGCUGGCGGCGUGCUUAACACAUGCAAGUCGAACGGAAAGGCCCCCACCUUGGUGGGGGUGCUCGAGUGGCGAACGGGUGAGUAACACGUGGGUGAUCUGCCCUGUACUUCGGGAUAAGCUUGGGAAACUGGGUCUAAUACCGGAUAGGACCAUGGUUUAGUGUCUCAUGGUGGAAAAAUUAUUGUUUUGGUGCAGGAUGAGCUCGCGGCCUAUCAGCUUGUUGGUGGGGUAAUGGCCUACCAAGGCGUCGACGGGUAGCCGGCCUGAGAGGGUGGACGGCCACAUUGGGACUGAGGUACGGCCCAGACUCCUACGGGAGGCAGCAGUGGGGAAUAUUGCACAAUGGGCGCAAGCCUGAUGCAGCGACGCCGCGUGGGGGAUGACGGCCUUCGGGUUGUAAACUCCUUUCGUUAGGGACGAAGCCACACCUUUUUUGGGUGUGGUGACGGUACCUUUGUUAAGAAGCACCGGCUAACUACGUG